AAGGACUUCUGGAACCUGUUGAGGUUAAUUCAAAAGCUUUAUUCUUUACAUCCUUAUUUUUCUUUUUAAUAUUUUUGGGCAGCCUUUGAUAACGUUUACAGCUGAUUUAAUGAAUAUCUUGUUCUAUUACAUGGAAGGAUGCACAGUUUGGAUAGUAGUUAUAAUGUAGGUUUCAAACCAUUUAACCUUUAACGGUACUGGAAAGUUUUUCCAAAGUUAUGUCUCCAUGGCGUGUUUUGUGUUGGGAGUUGUGGAGGAAGGGAAGCCGUUGAAUAUGGGGUAAAUUGACUUUUUCUUGUAAUUGGACAUAUAAUUUUUGUCGGUGGUUCCUAACUCCGUUGAACAUAAUACUGGAACAAACUAAAGAAGUGCUUCUGGUACCUUCCAUAUGUGGACUUAGGACCUAUUUACUGACUUAGGAGUGAAUCAGUUUGCUGUUAUUUUUUUUUCUUGUUUCCUCCCUUGUUUGGACACACUUGUUUAGCAUGUCCUGUAAUAGGCAUGCUGGUAUUUCUUUCUGUUACUGCUGUACAACAUUUAUCACCAAUAUCUCCAUUAGUCCAUGAAGCAUAUGCAUCUAAUUCUAUUCUUAUAUGUUAAUCUCUCAUUCUCCUUGCUUUUUCUGCCCUCUUGGUUUGUUGGAGGUGAAAGUGUGCCUUGGUGCAAUGGUAAGAUUUUACCAUUCUAACCUGGGAAUCACAAGCUCAUAUGGUAGAAAGGUAGAAAACAGCAUCCUUGCAAGGCAAGGGGAAGAUUGCAUACUUCUGUUCUGUGCAAUCCCCAUGAUGCAAGAACCCAUGUGCACUAAGUUCUGUUUCACUGCUACCAACAAAGGGAUAUUGCUUGCACCUAUUUAUUCUCAUUGAACUCGUUCCUCCAUGAGUUGUUCAUAGUGAUUAUCAUUGUAGUUAAAUAUGGAUUUAAACCAUGAACCUUAUUGACUAGGGAGCAUGUGCUGUUUCUUUGACCUCUGAAUUUUUUAUUAUUAAAGAUUUGCACUUGAGAGUUGCAUGUCUAUUGAUAGGAACAAAAAACAAUUGGUUCAG
This 1046-nucleotide unclassified non-coding RNA is filed under the name Hevea brasiliensis (rubber tree). The record is from RNAcentral. Lineage: Eukaryota; Viridiplantae; Streptophyta; Magnoliopsida; Malpighiales; Euphorbiaceae.